GGGUGCGACGGCUGGCCGUUGCAGGUUCGGGCUGGUCGGGCCGCCAGCC
This 49-nucleotide non-coding RNA is filed under the name unclassified sequences. Its description in RNAcentral is "Li+-I sequence". It matches the Rfam family "nhaA-I RNA". From Rfam's summary of the family: Acidobacteria, Alphaproteobacteria, Betaproteobacteria and Gammaproteobacteria, Verrucomicrobia, cand. division NC10. Downstream gene The record is from Rfam by way of RNAcentral.